Molecule: ribosomal RNA, 604 nt
Filed under: uncultured bacterium
Lineage: Bacteria
Description: bacterial SSU rRNA
Rfam family: Bacterial small subunit ribosomal RNA
Source: RNAcentral
UGCAGUCGAGCGGAUGACGGGAGCUUGCUCCUUGAUUCAGCGGCGGACGGGUGAGUAAUGCCUAGGAAUCUGCCUGGUAGUGGGGGACAACGUUUCGAAAGGAACGCUAAUACCGCAUACGUCCUACGGGAGAAAGCAGGGGACCUUCGGGCCUUGCGCUAUCAGAUGAGCCUAGGUCGGAUUAGCUAGUUGGUGGGGUAAUGGCUCACCAAGGCGACGAUCCGUAACUGGUCUGAGAGGAUGAUCAGUCACACUGGAACUGAGACACGGUCCAGACUCCUACGGGAGGCAGCAGUGGGGAAUAUUGGACAAUGGGCGAAAGCCUGAUCCAGCCAUGCCGCGUGUGUGAAGAAGGUCUUCGGAUUGUAAAGCACUUUAAGUUGGGAGGAAGGGCAGUAAGCUAAUACCUUGCUGUUUUGACGUUACCGACAGAAUAAGCACCGGCUAACUCUGUGCCAGCAGCCGCGGUAAUACAGAGGGUGCAAGCGUUAAUCGGAAUUACUGGGCGUAAAGCGCGCGUAGGUGGUUCGUUAAGUUGGAUGUGAAAGCCCCGGGCUCAACCUGGGAACUGCAUCCAAAACUGGCGAGCUAGAGUACGGUAGAG